This 2228-nucleotide long non-coding RNA is filed under the name Homo sapiens (human). Its description in RNAcentral is "HSALNT0379531". Lineage: Eukaryota; Metazoa; Chordata; Mammalia; Primates; Hominidae. The record is from RNAcentral.
CUCUCAGCUCCCUUCCCCGGCGUGACCCUCCGUCUUUCUCUUUGUCAGUUCUGACAUUUACUCAUUUUUUGUCUACAGAGAGUGGAUGAGAGCUCUCUGCCACUGUCCGGGAGGGCUGGGGCUGGGUGAGGUCUGGGGGCUGGGUGAGGUCUGAGGGCUGGCUGGCAGCUAGGAGGAGGGAGACAUGACGCUGACGGCCCUGCAUUGCUGCUUCCUCCAGCUGAAUCUACCACCCUGACUUGUGAGUGUCGAGGGCUUUCUGGGGAGCUGCUGGGACUAGAGAGGCGAGAUCAGCAGGUGGGUGGGCCUGGCCUCUCAGCUGGCCCAGGCCCUUCCUCUGCUCAAGCCCCCGCCCUGCCCUGCAGGAGCAGUCACGGAGCUGCGACACCACCAGAGCUGGGACACCACCAGAGCUGCGAGACCACCAGAGCUGUGACACCACCAGAGCCGGGACACCACCAGAGCCGGGACACCACCAGAGCCGGGACACCACCAGAGCUCCGAGACCACCAGAGCUGCCACACCACCAGAGCUGUGACACCACCAGAGCCGUGACACCACCAGAGCCGGGACACCACCAGAGCCGGGACACCACCAGAGCCGCGAGACCACCAGAGCCGUGACACCACCAGAGCCGGGACACCACCAGAGCUGGGACACCACCAGAGCUGCGAGACCACCAGAGCUGGGACACCACCAGAGCUGCCACACCACCAGAGCUGCGACAGCACCAGAGCCGGGACACCAGCAGAGCCGGGACACCACCAGAGCCGCAACACCACCAGAGCUGCGACACCAGCAGAGCCGCGACACCAGCAGAGCCGGGACACCACCAGAGCCGUGACACCAGCAGAGCCGGGACACCACCAGAGCUGCGAGACCACCAGGGCCGGGACACCACCAGGGCCGGGACACCACCAGAGCUGCGAGACCACCAGGGCCGGGACACCACCAGAGCCGGGACACCACCAGAGCUGCGAGACCACCAGGGCCGUGACACCACCAGAGCCGGGACACCACCAGAGCUGGGACACCACCAGAGCUGCGAGACCACCAGAGCUGGGACACCACCAGAGCUGCCACACCACCAGAGCUGCGACACCAGCAGAGCCGCGACACCAGCAGAGCCGGGACACCAGCAGAGCCGGGACACCACCAGAGCCGUGACACCAGCAGAGCCGGGACACCACCAGGGCCGGGACACCAGCAGAGCCGGGACACCACCAGAGCCGUGACACCAGCAGAGCCGGGACACCACCAGGGCCGGGACACCACCAGAGCUGCGAGACCACCAGGGCCGGGACACCACCAGAGCCGGGACACCACCAGAGCUGGGACACCACCAGAGCUGCGAGACCACCAGAGCCGUGACACCACCAGAGCCGUGACACCAGCAGAGCUGGGACACCACCAGAGCUGUGAGACCACCAGAGCCGGGACACCACCAGAGCCGGGACACCACCAGAGCUGCGAGACCACCAGAGCCGUGACACCAGCAGAGCCGGGACACCACCAGAGCCGGGACACCACCAGAGCCGGGACACCACCAGAGCUCCGAGACCACCAGAGCUGCCACACCACCAGAGCUGUGACACCACCAGAGCUGUGACACCACCAGAGCCGGGACACCACCAGAGCCGGGACACCACCAGAGCUGCGAGACCACCAGAGCUGGGACACCACCAGAGCUGGGACACCACCAGAGCCGGGACACCACCAGAGCUCCGAGACCACCAGAGCUGCCACACCACCAGAGCUGUGACACCACCAGAGCCGGGACACCACCAGAGCCGGGACACCACCAGAGCCGGGACACCACCAGAGCUGUGACACUGUGGCUUCAGUAAAGCUGUUUCUUCUACCACUGGCUUGCCCUUGCAUUCUUUCCUGGGUGAAGCCAAAAACCCAGAGGGCUAAACUCCACUUUCGGGCUCGCCUGCCUGCAUCAUAACCAUCAGGCCUGGAGAGCCGGGUCUCUUGAGAGUAAACUGCCGUGAGAUUCUACAGGAACUCUGCCUCUCCUCUGGGCUGAGCUGUUCUGCCUCAGUUUCCUCACUAACAAAAUGGGGUGACAUCUUGAGGUGGCCCCUCUCGGUGCUGCCAGCCUCUCUGCUCCCCACUCUUUUUGGGCAGCCCUCAAGGCCCUCGUACAGCAUCUGGGGGGCGGGUCACACUGCAUACGGCAGGGGUGGGGGGGGUCACAGACAGAGGUGCUAAAUCGAUGCAGG